CCCCAAAUUUUGGUCUAAUUCACCCCAAACUUCAGGCCUUGUUGACCCCCAACUUCAGGCCUCCAUGACCCCAAAUUUUGGCCUUGUUGGUGUCAACCUUUGGGCUUCGUUGACCUCAACUACUGGACCCCAACUUUUACCCCUCAUGCUCCCCGAUUUUUACCCUCGUUCUCCCCAACUUUUACCCUCAUUCUCCCUGAUUUUUACCCUCAUUCUCCCCAACUUUUACCCCUCGUUCUCCCUAACUUUUACCCUCAUUCUCCCCAACUUUUACCCUCGUUCUCCCCGACUUUUGCCUNNNNNNNNNNNNNNNNNNNNNNNNNNNNNNNNNNNNNNACCCCAAAUUUUGGCCUUGUUCACCCCAAUCUUUGACCCUCCCAUUCUCCCCAACUUUUACCCCUCAUGCUCCCUAAUUUUUGCCCUCAUUCUCCCCGACUUUUGCCUUCAUUCUCCCCAACUUUUACCCUCGUUCUCCCCGACUUUUGCCUUCAUUCUCCCCAACUUUUACCCUCGUUCUCCCCGCUUUUUGCCCUCAUCCUCCCCAACCCUCCCCAACCUCCCCAACUUCUUCUACCCUCGCCAUCCCCUCUUCUCACCCACCAAAAACCCCAAAUCCCUUUUCCUUCCUUCCUCCCUCAGAAGCGACGCUCGAACCGCCAAGUCAAACGCAAGAAAUACACCGAGGAUUUAGACAUCAAGAUCACUGAUGAUGAGGAAGAUGAAGAGCUGGACGUUACGGGGCCCGUGCGUGCAGAGCAGCCCCCUGCCCCACAACCCCCCGCCCCAGAACCGGAGCCAGAGGGCGAGACGUUGCCCUCCAUGCAAUUUUUUGUGGUAGGGGGAUCUUCCUCUUCAUCCUUCACCUUCGUCACCCUCAGGGUUGCUUAUUUUUCCUCUGUUUUAUCUCAAUUUCCUUCUUCUUUUCCAGGAGAAUCCCAGCGAGGAGGACGCGGCCAUCGUGGACAAAGUCCUGUCCAUGAGGGUGGUUAAAAAGGAGGUGAGGGAAACAAUUUACGACCCCAUAAAUUGGGGAAGGGGCUUUUGGCAGCUGUUAACAUCUCCUUUUUUGUUCCUUUUUGGCAGCUCCCGUCGGGGCAGUUGACAGAAUCAGAGGAGUUCUUCGUCAAAUAUAAGAAUUAGUGAGUGCUCUGUGGCUCCUUGUUGGACCACAGGAGGUUCUCUGGCUCUCCUGGCGCUCUACGCAUCCUUUUGGGGUCUUCACGUUGCUUUAGGAUCCCCUAAAUCCCUUUGGGGUCCCCCACAUCCCUUUAGGGUCCUCCCUGUUGAGAUUCUCCACGUUCCUUUUGGGAUCCUCCACGUCCCUUUGGCCUCUUGCUUUCUCAGUGUCCCUUUUCUGGGGUUUCUCCUCAUCCUUUUGGGGUCUUCACAUUGCUUUAGGACCUUCCACAUCCCUUUAGGGUCCCUCACAUCACUUUAGGGUUCUCCGUUUUAGGGUCCUCCACGUCCCUUUGGGCUCUUGCUUUCUCAGUGUCCCUUUUCUGGGGUUUCUCCCCAUCCUUUUGGGGUCUUCACAUUGCUUUAGGACCUCCCACAUCCCUUUGGGGUCCCCCACAUCCCUUUAGGGUUCUCCCUUUUGGGAUCCUCCACGUCCCUUUGGCC
Molecule: long non-coding RNA, 1620 nt
Organism: Phasianus colchicus (ring-necked pheasant)
Lineage: Eukaryota; Metazoa; Chordata; Aves; Galliformes; Phasianidae
Source: Ensembl